Molecule: non-coding RNA, 491 nt
Organism: Rattus norvegicus (Norway rat)
Lineage: Eukaryota; Metazoa; Chordata; Mammalia; Rodentia; Muridae
Source: RefSeq, a predicted model, not a curated record
UAUCACGACCUGUUCCACGCACACCCUCUCCUGGUGCCAUCCUCGCGCUGGAUGCGAGCCAUCCUCUGGGCUAAUGAGCUAGGCGCGGGAGAUAACUAAUCCUAAUGCAAUUACUGCUCGGUGCAGCACUGAUAGGUCCACUGUGCUCCCCGCGUGCCCGGCAGCCUGAGCCAGGCUAGAGCAGCUGGGCCUCAGCCUCCUGUCGGAGACGUUUUGACAGCUGUAUACAGUCCCGGACCCCCUCCCACGGCCCGCGUCCCGGGAGAGUGAUCUUUUCACAGCGAGUCCCCAUGAAGCCUGUCGGAGGUAAACACAGUAUCCAUGUCUACAGCCUCACAAGCUUGGGAAGUAGAAGUGACUUCAUGGCCAGUUCUUGGAUGCUGCCAGUACCACUGGUGAGGAGGGCAGUGGAGACUUUAGGAUUUUCCACCUCAUUCAUAGUUCCUCGUAGGCAAACUUCCUGGUAAUUAAAGGCAGUAGUGAAAACAUCA